ACCCGCUGGACUUAAGCAUAUCAAUAAGCGGAGGAAAAGAAACCAACUGGGAUUGCCUCAGUAACGGCGAGUGAAGCGGCAAAAGCUCAAAUUUGAAAUCUGCCAUCCGGCCGAGUUGUAAUUUACAGAGGAUGCUUUGGAUUCUGUCUGGUGUAAAGUCCUUUGGAACAGGGCGCCGUGGAGGAUGAAAGUUCCGUACGUAUCAGAUCCAGUUUCCAUGUAAAGCUCCUUCAAAGAGUCGAGUUGUUUGGGAAUGCAGCUCUAAGUGGGAGGUAAAUUUCUUCCAAAGCUAAAUACCGGCUAGAGACCGAUAGCGCACAAGUAGAGUGAUCGAAAGAUGAAAAGCACUUUGAAAAGAGAGUUAAAAAGCACGUGAAAUUGUUGAAAGGGAAGCUUAUGUCAUCAGACUUGAUGCUGAAGUUCAGCCUUUUGGUGUAUUCUUUGGUAUCAGGCUAGCAUCAAUUUGAACAGCUGGAUAAAAACUUCGGGAAUGUAGCUCUUCGGAGUGUUAUAGCCCGAUGCAGAAUGCGGCUUGUUCAGAUUGAGGUCCGCUUUUGAGGAUGCUGGCGUAAUGGUGGCAUGAGGCCCGUCUGAAAACACGGA
Molecule: ribosomal RNA, 603 nt
Filed under: Bathelium madreporiforme
Lineage: Eukaryota; Fungi; Ascomycota; Dothideomycetes; Trypetheliales; Trypetheliaceae
Description: eukaryotic LSU rRNA
Rfam family: Eukaryotic large subunit ribosomal RNA
Source: RNAcentral